This 450-nucleotide ribosomal RNA is filed under the name uncultured bacterium. Its description in RNAcentral is "partial 16S ribosomal RNA". It matches the Rfam family "Bacterial small subunit ribosomal RNA", at positions 354 to 796 of the family's 1533-position model. The record is from RNAcentral.
GUGGGGAAUUUUGGACAAUGGGCGCAAGCCUGAUCCAGCAAUGCCGCGUACAGGAAGAAGGCCUUCGGGUUGUAAACUGCUUUUGUACGGAACGAAACGGUCCUGGUUAAUACCUGGGGCUAAUGACGGUACCGUAAGAAUAAGCACCGGCUAACUACGUGCCAGCAGCCGCGGUAAUACGUAGGGUGCAAGCGUUAAUCGGAAUUACUGGGCGUAAAGCGUGCGCAGGCGGUUUUGUAAGACAGGCGUGAAAUCCCCGGGCUCAACCUGGGAAUUGCGCUUGUGACUGCAAGGCUGGAGUGCGGCAGAGGGGGAUGGAAUUCCGCGUGUAGCAGUGAAAUGCGUAGAUAUGCGGAGGAACACCGAUGGCGAAGGCAAUCCCCUGGGCCUGCACUGACGCUCAUGCACGAAAGCGUGGGGAGCAAACAGGAUUAGAAACCCGGGUAGUCC